RNAcentral lists this ribosomal RNA (491 nucleotides) under uncultured bacterium. RNAcentral describes it as "partial 16S ribosomal RNA". It matches the Rfam family "Bacterial small subunit ribosomal RNA", at positions 29 to 506 of the family's 1533-position model. The record is from RNAcentral.
AGUGAACGCUGGCGGUAGGCCUAACACAUGCAAGUCGAACGGCAGCACAGUAAGAGCUUGCUCUUACGGGUGGCGAGUGGCGGACGGGUGAGGAAUACAUCGGAAUCUACUUUUUCGUGGGGGAUAACGUAGGGAAACUUACGCUAAUACCGCAUACGACCUACGGGUGAAAGCAGGGGAUCUUCGGACCUUGCGCGAUUGAAUGAGCCGAUGUCGGAUUAGCUAGUUGGCGGGGUAAAGGCCCACCAAGGCGACGAUCCGUAGCUGGUCUGAGAGGAUGAUACGCACCACUGGAACGGAGACACGGUCCAGACCCCUAGGGGGGGGAGCGGGGGGGAAUAUUGGACAAUGGGCGAAAGCCUGAUCCAGCCAUACCGCGUGGGUGAAGAAGGCCUUCGGGUUGUAAAGCCCUUUUUUUGGGAAAAAAAAGCAGCAGGUUAAUACCCCGCUGUUCUGACGGUACCCAAAGAAUAAGCACCGGCUAACUUCGU